RNAcentral lists this ribosomal RNA (370 nucleotides) under uncultured prokaryote. Its description in RNAcentral is "bacterial SSU rRNA". It matches the Rfam family "Bacterial small subunit ribosomal RNA", at positions 524 to 896 of the family's 1533-position model. The record is from RNAcentral.
UACGGAGGAUGCAAGCGUUAUCCGGAUUUAUUGGGUUUAAAGGGUCCGCAGGCGGGAUCAUAAGUCAGUGGUGAAAUCCUAUAGCUUAACUAUAGAACUGCCAUUGAUACUGUGAUUCUUGAAUGUAGUUGACGUGGGCGGAAUAUGACAUGUAGCGGUGAAAUGCUUAGAUAUGUCAUAGAACACCAAUUGCGAAGGCAGCUCACGAAACUAUUAUUGACGCUCAGGGACGAAAGUGUGGGUAGCAAACAGGAUUAGAUACCCUGGUAGUCCACACCGUAAACGUUGAUCACUAGAUGUCGGCGAUACACAGUCGGUGUCCAAGCGAAAGUGUUAAGUGAUCCACCUGGGGAGUACGACCGCAAGGUUG